CACAUCGUUACUCGAACAAAGGCCGUAAUAAUCCUUGAUCACAAGUGAAAUCUCAUUACUGAACCAAAAGUGGCAAUAGUCUUUGACCACAAGUGAAAUCGUAAACUGCUUACCGCAAUUACUGCGAUGGGUAAUGUAAUGUUGACAAAAACUUGGGAGUUUUCAGUGGCUAUAAAUCCCCUUCUUAAUAGAUGUAAUCUUGGGGACGUCUUAGUUGCGACAUAACUAUACAACUCAAGUAAACUCAAAGCACCAACUGUUAGCCAAUUGAUGCCACAUUUAGAGUAAACCUAAUAAAUUACAAGAUAUCCUCCUCAGAGCUACUGGUAUGGGUGUAGAUGGGAAAUUUCCUGCAUCAAUUUAAAAAGUUCGGCGAGGAAAUCACAGGAAUCAAACUAGAAGGCGUGAUCAGUGAUUUAACAAAAAGCCCAGAUUAUAAAGUCAUGAAGUUCCCCAUGCAGCGCCAAUAGGCAAGAGUCCAACUACAUUCCCCUUUUUUAACAUCUCCAAUGAAUGCUGCCGCUGUGCAGGAGAGGAGAGAACUUAAAAACAGCAAAAUAAGCUGUUUGGCAUGUUUGGAAGAUUUUUAUGCAGAGGCUACAUCCCCGCCUCUAUCAUCGCCACUAUGAAUUAUGUGAAACAAAAAAUUGGAAAUCAGGAAGAUUAACCUCCAAACUUCGAAGCCAAUUAUCAGCAGCCUGUAAUAGAGAGUUUGCUUGCUGCCAUUCAUGGGCUCCAAUUGGAGUUAAAAUUGAACCUCUAAACUUGUAGGAAGCAAGGCCAAAAACAGGUAAAGCAAUCUUGGAAGAAGCAAUUGUGCUAUUGGCCUUCCUGCCAUCGAGUUCCUCAAACUGUACCUGAUUUUUGCUUCCAGCUUUUGUGGAUAAGGAAUGGAAGGUCAAAAAAGAUGCAUCCAGAUUUUGUAGUGUUGGACCCGUCGGUAUUCUAUAUAUUGGGUACCAAGCCACAGAUACCCAACUCCCAGGCAAUAAAUCACAGCUUCUGUAGAUUUUGAUAUCAGGAAAUUGAGAUGCAAGAGAUGAAACCUUAUCAUAUAAAGGCUUUCGAUAAUGUGGUUGCUCCUGUUCCAAAUACUCAUAAACAAGCAGCCCAUGUGAGCUGGAAAUCUCAGUUUCAUCACUGGAUGAACAAUGAAGAGGUUUAUCUCUCAAGGUAAUCCUCCGCACUCCCCGGAAGUUUAGGUUCAUGAGAUUAUGCCGACCCCACACUCCAUCAACAAAACCUUUACCUCGCAUUUCUGCUUCACAGUCACUACUACCAGCACUGUUCGUCUCCCUGGAAGACUCAGCAUCACUAUCCUCACCAUGCCUCCUAAUUGAAUAUAAAAGGCAGAUAUCUAUAAAGAAUGAGCAAGCAUCUCACAAAGUUGUACAUAAACACAAAACAUUUCUAAAGAAAGUAUAUGAUAAUUGAACUCAUGAAAUCUAUCUGUAGUAUUGAACCUAAAACACUACCCUUAACACAGUUUAGAGCAUAUCCUUGUUUCAACAGAUUAAUUUGUCUGAUGAAAGACAGAUAGCAGGGGCCUUCUUCCAACAAGUUGCAGCUUUGUACAGAAAAGAAUUGAAAAGGACAGGCAAGAACAAUGCUGCUCAAGGUACAAGUCAUUGAGAAAAGGGUUUUAAUGAGACCCUCAUUUGUCAUAUAACUUCUCUAUAUAAAAAACUAGAGAAGAUGGAUGGAAUUUUUACUUUUCUAACAUUUUGAAUGCUCAUUUGAGCUGCUCUAGAAAUCAAAUUGUGAAAUCUAGUGGCUGGAACUACAGCAUUUUACACGUCCAUGAGCCCAUUUUGAGAGACAUGGCAAACCCAGAUGAAUGAACAUGCCCACAAUAACCAUGUGUCAGGUUUGUCCGCACUUGAAGCCAAACAACUCAUGAUUCUUGAGCCACAAUAACACUUGCAACAUGGUGACUGGUUGCUGUUUUGUUUCUAUGCCAGCAGUUGAACAGGCACUUAAAUUUCUUAAAACAAGACUAGUUUGCAUCUACUUUCUUAGUGAUGUGAGUGAAAACAGACGGAAGUAAACUCAAUUUGGAGGAAAACCAACAAUAAGUGUCAGUUAACUAUUGUGUUACACUGCUCACUUUUUUUGGCAUGACAAACAAGGUUUCUCUUAACUAACAGUUCAGUAAAUCAGACAUGCUUAUCAUUUGCUGCAUGCACAAAUUGUUUAGUUACUGGGAUUCCCAGAAAUAUAGUUGAAAGACAUUCCAACCCAGUUUUCACCACUCACUUGAUUAAUGGCUACCACCUGUGCAAAUCAAUUACAACUCUGAUAAUUGUUGAAAAUGCUCGGAUGGAACCAAUUUUGAUAUUUGACAAUGUCUAUAUCUAUAUCUAUAGUCAAUAAAUCCUGAAGAAAUGUGGCACCAAGUGCUAAAUGAUGGAUUUGAAACUAGAAAAGAUGUGGAAUAGCCAGACACGGUGUUCUACUAAAAUUAUGAAUAACUAGGAUAAAGCUCAUAUAUGCCUAAAGUAAGCAGCCUCACCCGUCACCUGUCCAAGAUGUCUAAUGACAAUGGAUUGGUUUAGAAUUCCAAACUUGCAAGUAGUUCACUCUAGCAAGUCAAAGUGAUUUCAUUCGACUGAUACAAAAACCGAAAAACAAAAAUGUUUGAAGAUUUUAUAACAAUUCAAUAAUUAAACUAAAAACAAUAGACCAAGGAAAUUAUUUCAAACAGAAUUCAGCAGGGGCACAAAUGGCUCUUGGAAUAUUUCCAGACCUGUUUAUAGCCACUUAAAUGUAAAGAUCCAUAAGAAAUCCAAUAUAGAUGAAAAAUCUCUGUUAAUGGCAUCAUGAUCAUGUCUAAAUAGCAGAUAAUACAAAUUAAAAGACACAGCAUAAACCCAAAGCAUCAAGGCAACCAAAUGGUACAUCAAGGCUGCUGAUGAAGAAGCUAUACAAUUUAAUAUAAGAAGGGCACAUGACAAUGACACAAAACAUAAGCUUCAUAUACAAACAAAUGCAGCAGCAGUGCACCAUCAUGAGAAGCUACCCAAGAAUGAGUUUAUUUAAAAAGUACAUUAUCAAAAAAUGAGAACCAUGUGACCUUAAAAUAAGGAGACAUGCAAAAAUUUCUUCAAAAAUUACUUUCUUUCACUAUUUCAGUUCUAGACCUAGUUCUAU
Molecule: unclassified non-coding RNA, 3150 nt
Filed under: Hevea brasiliensis (rubber tree)
Lineage: Eukaryota; Viridiplantae; Streptophyta; Magnoliopsida; Malpighiales; Euphorbiaceae
Source: RNAcentral